Heterocephalus glaber (naked mole-rat) is the source of this 1017-nucleotide long non-coding RNA. The record is from Ensembl. Lineage: Eukaryota; Metazoa; Chordata; Mammalia; Rodentia; Bathyergidae.
CACGAGGACAGAUGGACAAGUUGGAGAACCCUGGGGACCCUUCCCAAGGGGCUUGUAGGGCUACAUAACUUGGGUUUAGAUGUCAUCUUUGUCCUCUAAGCAGUUUGCAACCAAGCAAACUGAUGAGAGAGGCAAAUAUUGGAUAGGGAUAAUCAAAUAAAUGUGCUAUGUUGGACACUGUGACGGGAAGAAGAUGGAAGAGAGAGGAUGUGAGCAUGUAUAUUUGAAGACGAGGGAAAGAGUGGCUGUGGCAGAAAAAUCAACUCGUACACUGAGUGAGUCAUGUGCAGUUUUCCGGAGUACACAGACUCUUCACCUAUGGUUGGAUUCCCAGGGGACCAUGGUUCCUAAGACUCCCACAGGCCCCCGACGAACUCGGAUGGAUCUUCGCCCUGGCCAGGAGCCCAGCCUAAGAGCCAGCCCGGACAGCGCUGCCCCUCCCCUCCAAGCGACAGCAUUGUGAAGACUGGAGAGCAAAACGGGUCGCCCACAAGGAAACUCCAGAAAGCGGGCAGUCAGAAGUGCUGCAGGGAGCACUUCCGGCACAGCCUCUGCGGGCGGUCAGAGGUGCGGGCGGUCAGAGGUGCGGCCUGGGGUCGCCGGCGGACUGUUCCCAUGCUUGUGAGUGUCGGGUUGUAGGAGUGGAGCAGCUUCUAGGAGUAGUGACUGGGUUGGUAUGACAGCCAGGGCUCUCACCUUUGAACCUCAAGUGAGUCCCUCCCUGAGGACCAAGCUGGGAGACCCAAGAAACACACUGGGCACCGCCCCUCUCUUGGCCGCUCCCACUUGAAUCAAGGCCACCAAGACCCUUUUCUCACCUGGAAAGGGCAAUCAGGCAGAUCUGAAGAUGGCCGUGCUGCUAGAGGAAAGUCUGCACGCCGCAGACUCAGCAGCACCACCCGCUUCACAGACCUCUGUACCUCCCAGGAAGUCUCUUACCGCCAACAGUUUCUCACCUCCUCUGUCUGGGUAUCGGGUCAGUCUCUUCAGAAAUAAACCGUGAAUGGUGUUUGUGAC